RNAcentral lists this microRNA precursor (204 nucleotides) under Oryza glumipatula. RNAcentral describes it as "MIR812 microRNA precursor family". It matches the Rfam family "MIR812 microRNA precursor family". The record is from Rfam by way of RNAcentral. Lineage: Eukaryota; Viridiplantae; Streptophyta; Magnoliopsida; Poales; Poaceae.
AAAAAAGCAAACUGUGGGUUCCCGUGCCAACGUUUGACUGUCCGUCUUAUAUAAUUUUUUUUAUAAUUAUUAUUUUCGUUGUUGUUAGAUGAUAAAACAUGAUUAAUACUUUAUACGUGACUUAUCUUUUUAAUUUUUUUUAUAAUUUUUUUAAAUAAGACGGACGGUCAAACGUUGGACACGAAAAUCAGGGUUUGUCUUUUU